CAUAGCGACUAUCGUGGCAUAUCAAUAAGCGGAGGAAAAGAAACUAACAAGGAUUCCCUUAGUAACGGCGAGUGAAGCGGGAAGAGCUCAAAUUUGAAAUCUUCAAGGUUCUACCUUGACGAAUUGUAGUUUAUAGAAGUGUUUUCUGUUAGUAGAGUGGCAAAAGUUCUUUGGAAUAGGACAUCAUAGAGGGUGAGAAUCCCGUAUUUGACCAUUAUUUUCAGCUGUGUGAUACACUUUCAAAGAGUCGGAUUGUUUGGGAAUGCAGUCCAAAAUGGGUGGUAAAUUUCAUCUAAAGCUAAAUAUUGGCGAGAGACCGAUAGCGAACAAGUACCGUGAGGGAAAGAUGAAAAGAACUUUGAAAAGAGAGUUAAACAGUACGUGAAAUUGUCAAAAGGGAAGCGUUUGACACCAGUGUUGUUUUCUCGAAAAUCAAUUAAAAAAGGCCGGAUUUUGUGUUGUAUUGACCUUAAAAGCUUUCUUCACUCUUUUCUUGUCUUUUUUAAUGCACUUUUCGUUUAACAAGUCAACAUCAGUUUCUUUUGUUGUAAAAGGGUCAUUGGAAGGUGGCUUUCUUUUCGGAGAAAGUGUUUAUAGCCUUUGAUCUCUGCAACCGGAGAGACUGAGGUCUGCAGCGUAGACUCUUCGGGGUUAGAUACAUUUGUGCUAAGCUAUAGCUUUUUAUAGACAACUUGUUGACUAUAUUUAGUCUUGUGGCUUACUCGCUUAUGCUAUUUUACCUACGCUUAGGAUGUUGAUAGUCACAGCGUGUAC
RNAcentral lists this ribosomal RNA (774 nucleotides) under uncultured Neocallimastigales. RNAcentral's name for it is "partial large subunit ribosomal RNA". It matches the Rfam family "Eukaryotic large subunit ribosomal RNA", at positions 22 to 610 of the family's 3401-position model. The record is from RNAcentral. Lineage: Eukaryota; Fungi; Neocallimastigomycota; Neocallimastigomycetes; Neocallimastigales.